GGCCUCGUGGCGUUCCCGGCGGAGCGGCCCGCCUGCAAAGCGGGUAACAGAAUCCGGUUCGACUCCGGGCGAGGCCUC
This 78-nucleotide transfer RNA is filed under the name Actinoplanes italicus. RNAcentral describes it as "tRNA-Cys". The record is from RNAcentral. Lineage: Bacteria; Bacillati; Actinomycetota; Actinomycetes; Micromonosporales; Micromonosporaceae.